CUCAAAUACCCUUGUGAGGCCUGAUGAGUCCAGUUGGAAAGGCUUCCGGUUUCCCCUGACAGAUCUUCAGUAUGACUGCUCCUCUCUGCUGGAUGACCUGACUGUUGUUUGGAGCUCCUGCUCCGUACCAAGCCUGGGGCAUAGCAGUGAAUACCUACUAGGAGGCUACUGAACUGCAUGGUAAAGAGAAACUACCUGGCCCAGGACAUUGGAAAAGGCUUCCUUGAAGAAGCAAUGUUUGAGGACUCCAUGAAAAGACUGAUCAUCUCCAUGUUACAAAUGAGGAGGAGGAGAUCUGGAGAGAGCUUGUCAUCCAAGCUUUUAACCACUGUGUCACACUGCCCCCUGCUGAGCACCUACUAAGUGCAAGGCUCUUAGGACACAAUGGUUUUAAGACAUUCCAAGGAGCUUAUACUCUGGACAGGUAAUUUCCUGGGUCUGUGUGUCUCCCGUAGCAAUCUGAAGGAAGAGAAGCCACGUAGUGGGAACUUCUGCCAUUUGUCAAUGAUGCUACCAUUUACCUGCAAG
Manis javanica (Malayan pangolin) is the source of this 528-nucleotide non-coding RNA. The record is from RefSeq and is a predicted model, not a curated record. Lineage: Eukaryota; Metazoa; Chordata; Mammalia; Pholidota; Manidae.